This 466-nucleotide ribosomal RNA is filed under the name uncultured bacterium. RNAcentral's name for it is "bacterial SSU rRNA". It matches the Rfam family "Bacterial small subunit ribosomal RNA", at positions 28 to 507 of the family's 1533-position model. The record is from RNAcentral.
GAUGAACGCUGGCGGCACGCCUAACACAUGCAAGUCGAACGAAGUGUGAGGAAGCUUGCUUCCAAUCACUUAGUGGCGGACGGGUGAGUAACACGUGAGCAACCUGCCUCUUGGUUUGGGAUACCGUUUGGAAACGAACGUUAAUACCGAAUAAUAUAGCGGAUUCGCAUGUUUCUGCUAUCAAAGAUUUAUUGCCAAGAGAUGGGCUCGCGUCUGAUUAGAUAGUUGGUGAGGUAACGGCCCACCAAGUCGACGAUCAGUAGCCGGACUGAGAGGUUGAACGGCCACAUUGGGACUGAGACACGGCCCAGACUCCUACGGGAGGCAGCAGUGGGGAAUAUUGCACAAUGGGCGCAAGCCUGAUGCAGCGAUGCCGCGUGAGGGAAGAAGGUUUUCGGAUUGUAAACCUCUGUCAUCGGGGACGAUAAUGACGGUACCCGAGAAGGAAGCUCCGGCUAACUACGUG